Molecule: ribosomal RNA, 371 nt
Filed under: uncultured bacterium
Lineage: Bacteria
Description: bacterial SSU rRNA
Rfam family: Bacterial small subunit ribosomal RNA
Source: RNAcentral
GUAGGUGGCGAGCGUUGUCCGGAAUUAUUGGGCGUAAAGCGAACGCAGGCGGGAGAAUAAGUCAGCUGUGAAAGCCCCCAGCUUAACUGGGGAAGUGCAACUGAAACUAUUUUUCUUGAGUGCAGAAGAGGAGAGUGGAACUCCAUGUGUAGCGGUGGAAUGCGUAGAUAUAUGGAAGAACACCAGAGGCGAAGGCGGCUCUCUGGUCUGUAACUGACGCUGAGGUUCGAAAGCAUGGGUAGCGAACAGGAUUAGAUACCCUGGUAGUCCAUGCCGUAAACGAUGAGUGCUAAGUGUUGGGAGGUUUCCGCCUCUCAGUGCUGCAGCUAACGCAUUAAGCACUCCGCCUGGGGAGUACGACCGCAAGGUUA